GAAAGUGUGCCCGAAAGACAAGGAUCUCCUUGAUAGGGAGAACUAUAGAGGUUCAUAUCCUCUCACUUUCU
This 71-nucleotide transfer RNA is filed under the name Occidozyga martensii (round-tongued floating frog). RNAcentral's name for it is "tRNA-Ile". The record is from RNAcentral. Lineage: Eukaryota; Metazoa; Chordata; Amphibia; Anura; Dicroglossidae.